RNAcentral lists this small RNA (24 nucleotides) under Bombyx mori (domestic silkworm). RNAcentral's name for it is "ovarian small RNA-17774". Lineage: Eukaryota; Metazoa; Arthropoda; Insecta; Lepidoptera; Bombycidae. The record is from RNAcentral.
GUCGAGUUUAGAUCCAGCGUCCGG